CUGGGUAGGGGCCACGCUUUGGAGGGGCGUCUAGGACAGGCCUGGCGCUCUUUCGGAUACACGUGGACCUUUCUCCUUUCCAAUGGGCUGGGUUUGGGGCAGAAGCAUCCUCUGGGUUUCCCAAGGAAGUGGAAGCACCUGAGGGCGUGUGGUGUGCAGGGCCAGGAGGGGCGGGCGGGGGUGAAUCUGCCUUGCUGGAAGCUGACCGGCUCUUCCUCUUGCAGUGCCUCAGGGUCUCCGGCCAGCAGUGCCAGCCCUCGCUGGGAAGCGCAAGCGGCGGAAAUGCCCGGCCUCCACUAGCAAGGGCCAGCGGAACCCCCUGCACAGCUUCAAGAACACCAGGAAGAAGUUUCGGGCCUCGGCCAAGCCCAGAUAAGCCACCGGAGCCCUCGGCCCCACCAGCUGCAGGAUGCCUGAGCGUGGCUGCAGACCGUUCCCCUUUCCCAGAGGCCAGCAGGGCCAUGCAGCUGCGCUCGCUCUGCCCCCCGUUUUGGGUUUUUUAAAGAGUCCCUCGGCUCCUCUUGCCAAACUGCCCCCGGAGAAAUAAAUUGCAGUGGCCAAGACAAAACCGCCUUUCGUGGGGCAGCUUGUGCCGAUUCCUGACUCCUGCUGCGUCCAGUGCUCUCGUGCGGAUGGAAUUCAGAGGAGCAGGCGAGAGGGGAGGGCAUCCCGCCAACAACUCGGCCUCGUGAGAAGCAGCGCUGUGAAUUUCCGGGAGCCAGGAGAGUUCCCGGAGCAGAGGCGUGCACCCUCUUCGUAUCAAUAAAGCCGACAGGCGUGGGACUGCGGGCAUGAUGGUGCGAAAGUGCUGCCGGGGUCUGUUGCCAGGAAAGGUCCCCAUUCCUCCCAGCAGGCUGGAGCAGCCGACACCAGGGCGCCUUGCCAACCAGCGGGCUGGGGUGGCGGCUGGUGGACUUUUGCCCGGGAUGGUGGCUUUAUCAGGCAUCAAGGCCAGGACAGGAUUGUAAACCUUGAAAUGGCAGGAUAAGAAGCUCACGGUGCCCUUUGCGUGGCCUGGCCUGAUGUGACGUUGCACAGCGAGGAUCAGGA
This 1050-nucleotide long non-coding RNA is filed under the name Naja naja (Indian cobra). RNAcentral describes it as "lncRNA (ENSNNAG00000006575.1)". Lineage: Eukaryota; Metazoa; Chordata; Lepidosauria; Squamata; Elapidae. The record is from RNAcentral.